Molecule: long non-coding RNA, 305 nt
Filed under: Nicotiana benthamiana
Lineage: Eukaryota; Viridiplantae; Streptophyta; Magnoliopsida; Solanales; Solanaceae
Description: long non-coding RNA (NBEN_LNC033094)
Source: RNAcentral
AACCACCUCAGCCUCGCUUCUCGCAUCUUCUCAUCCAUCGGGGCCACCCCUACCUUCUCUCGAAUAACUUCAUUCUUAAUCUUAUCUAACCUGGUGAGCCCGCACAUCCACCUGAGCAUCCUCAUCUCGUCAAUCUCUCCGUCCCCCCUGAAUCACCGACUCAAGAUAUCUGACACUAUCCCUCUUGGCGAUGACCUGAGAUCCAAUCAUCACGUCUCUGCCUACUUCGCUCGGCUUGGCGCUAAACUUGCACUCCAGGUAUUCUAUCUUAGAUCUGCUUAUUUUGAAACCCUUAGACUCGAGAG